Molecule: long non-coding RNA, 429 nt
Organism: Saccostrea echinata
Lineage: Eukaryota; Metazoa; Mollusca; Bivalvia; Ostreida; Ostreidae
Exons: 3
Source: RefSeq, a predicted model, not a curated record
AAAUCAAGUUGAGCGGGUCUCAUCGAAUUUUCUGGUAUUUUUGACGAAAAUAUGCAACCAGUGAUCAGUUGAUUUAAUACCUUUUCAUCUACCGGUAGAUUUAAGGAGGUUAUUGCUUGGAAAACUGCUCGAGCUCCCGGGCUGGCAAUUGGCAUGCACUGCAGUGCAGGUUCUAGUGAAAUCAAUUAUGCAGUUUCUUGAAGGAAAAAAGUCAUGGAUGACAACAAUGUAUGAUUUACCAGACCAAGGGAUACCAAUGUUUUUUGACGGUACUUGCUCCACCUACUCAGCUUACUGUGAGAGAGUUAACACCUUAUUGACAGAUCUUUCAAGAAGAAGAAACACUUGAGAAGGGUUCAAUAGUUUAAUUUUAUAGAUGGCAAGUAUUGCUUAGACCUAAAGUAUUCUUUAAUUGUGAAGAAAACAAAC